This 388-nucleotide unclassified non-coding RNA is filed under the name soil metagenome. Its description in RNAcentral is "partial contains 5.8S ribosomal RNA, internal transcribed spacer 2, and large subunit ribosomal RNA". The stretch from base 1 to 120 matches the Rfam family "5.8S ribosomal RNA", at positions 35 to 154 of the family's 154-position model. The record is from RNAcentral.
GAUGAAGAACGCAGCGAAAUGCGAUAAGUAAUGUGAAUUGCAGAAUUCAGUGAAUCAUCGAAUCUUUGAACGCACCUUGCGCUCCUUGGUAUUCCGAGGAGCAUGCCUGUUUGAGUGUCAUGAAAUUCUCAACCUUUUCAGCUUUCUUUGUUGAUCAGGCUUGGAUGUGGGAGUAUGCGGGCUUCUCAGAAGUCGGCUCUCCUGAAAUGCAUUAGCGGGACCUUUGUUGCCUGGCUUUGGUGUGAUAAUUAUCUACGCCAUUGUAGUCAAGCAGCUUAAAAUGAGGUUUCAGCUUCUAACCGUCUCCCCUGAGACAACUUUUUGACAAUUUGACCUCAAAUCAGGUAGGACUACCCGCUGAACUUAAGCAUAUCAAUAAGCCGGAGGA